This 253-nucleotide ribosomal RNA is filed under the name uncultured bacterium. RNAcentral describes it as "partial 16S ribosomal RNA". It matches the Rfam family "Bacterial small subunit ribosomal RNA", at positions 524 to 776 of the family's 1533-position model. The record is from RNAcentral.
UACGAAAGGGGCUAGCGUUGUUCGGAAUUACUGGGCGUAAAGCGCACGUAGGCGGCCAUGUAGGUUGGGGGUGAAAUCCCGGGGCUCAAGCCCGGAACUGCCUUCAAAACUACAUAGCUAGAGGAUGUGAGAGGAUAGUGGAAUUCCGUGUGUAGAGGUGAAAUUCGUAGAUAUUCGGAAGAACACCGGGGGCGAAGGAGACUGUCGGGCACAUUUCUGACGCUGAGGUUCGACAUCGUGGGGAGCAAACAGG